This 257-nucleotide unclassified non-coding RNA is filed under the name Hevea brasiliensis (rubber tree). The record is from RNAcentral. Lineage: Eukaryota; Viridiplantae; Streptophyta; Magnoliopsida; Malpighiales; Euphorbiaceae.
GACUGGCAAAGCCUGCAUAUGCUUUUAUAGUAUUAGAGCAAAUGGCUUCAAAUAUAUAGGUAGCCCUUAGCCAUGGAAAUUGAAAAAAAAAUUUCACAAGAACCACUUAACUUGGCAAUUCACAUCUAAAUACAUAAUUGUAAAUGCAUCUAAACGAAAAGGAGCUGAUAAUAUCUACUCCACUUGCACUGGCAGAAUGAAAAUUUUGAAAUUUAGGUUUGAAUGUUGAUGAUGAAAAGGAUGAAACAUAUAAUGUU